This 898-nucleotide unclassified non-coding RNA is filed under the name uncultured fungus. Its description in RNAcentral is "sequence contains 18S rRNA gene, ITS1, 5.8S rRNA gene, ITS2, 28S rRNA gene". The record is from RNAcentral. Lineage: Eukaryota; Fungi.
UGUCGCAGAAGAUGGGCAUCCACGAGUGGAGCUACGACAACGCCAUCCACAACGACAAGCGUUAUCGCGUCCCGCUCAAGGACACGGUCAUCGCGUUGCGCGACAUCCGGACCGAGGUCGAGCUGGGCUUCGACCGCCGUGUCGGCUAUGCCGAGGCGCAGCGUUGCCUCAACUGUGACGUCGAGACGGUAUUCGCGGGCAAGUUGUGCAUCGAAUGCGACGCGUGCGUCGACAUCUGUCCGAUGGAUUGCAUCACGUUCACGCAGGACGGCGAGGAAGCCGACCUGCGCGGGCGGCUCAAUGCUCCCGCGCUAAAUCUCACGCAGGAUCUGUACUUAGCCGGCGGAUUGAAGACCGGCCGCGUGAUGGUCAAGGACGAGGACAUGUGCCUGCACUGCGGCCUGUGCGCCGAGCGCUGCCCGACCGGCGCAUGGGACAUGCAGAAGUUCCUGCUCGACAUGGCGCAAGCGGACGAUCGCUGCCACCCGCAACAGGGUUCGACGUCGGCAAAGCGCGCGGAUCGCCCAUCCGUGCCGCUGAUGGCGACGCCGGCCGAGUGACGCAAUGACUCCGCCCGCCGCCGUGGUUUCCCGCGUCAACGACUUCGUCGUCAAGUUCGCCAACGUCAACGGCUCCGGCUCCGCGUCCGCGAACGGACUCUUCGCCAAGGCGAUCCUGCGCAUGGGCGUGCCGGUCGCUGCGCGCAACAUCUUUCCGUCCAACAUCCAGGGCCUGCCGACGUGGUUCGAGGUGCGCGUGGUCGAAGCCGGCUGGCGAGGGCGCCGCGGAGGCGUCGACAUGGCGGUCGCGAUGAAUCCGCAGACCUGGGACAAGGACCUGGCCGAGGUGGAUGCCGGCGGCUAUGUCUUCUAUGACUCGACCAAGCCGUUGCCGCCGU